UCGAAGUCGACCGACGACUCGCUCUUCCUGCUGACCACCUGCGAUAAGAGAUUGCGAUUUUAUGCAACUUUGAAUCUCUGAUCAUGGACAUUGGCCAGCCGUGCUGUUUAAUAUAGUCCAAGCUUAGAUAAGCGGGGAAUUGUUUAUUAAAUGAUUAACUGUGAACUUUGAUGUCAACUGAUAGAUGGGGCGUUUGAUCUGGAUUAAACUGAGUGGUCAAUAAGGAGCUUUCGCCUUCGCUAAAUCCAAGAUCAGAAGAGGGAGGUUUUUUAAACAAUUGUUAACAAACCUCGCUGUCAAU
This is a long non-coding RNA of Orussus abietinus, 301 nucleotides long. RefSeq lists it as uncharacterized. The transcript has 3 exons. The record is from RefSeq and is a predicted model, not a curated record. Lineage: Eukaryota; Metazoa; Arthropoda; Insecta; Hymenoptera; Orussidae.